This 406-nucleotide ribosomal RNA is filed under the name uncultured bacterium. RNAcentral's name for it is "partial 16S ribosomal RNA". It matches the Rfam family "Bacterial small subunit ribosomal RNA", at positions 30 to 526 of the family's 1533-position model. The record is from RNAcentral.
AUUGAACGCUGGCGGCAUGCCUAACACAUGCAAGUCGAACGAGUGGCGGACUGGUGAGUAAUUUCUGGGAAACUGCCUGAUGGAUGGGUAUAACUACUGGAAACGGUAGCUAAUACCGCAUACCACCGUUUCUUUCAUCAUUGGAUUAGCUAGUAGGUGGGGUAAAGGCUCACCUAGGCGACGAUCCAUAGCUGUUCUGAGAGGAUGACCAGCCACACUGGAACUGAGACACGGUCCAGACGCCUACGGGAGGCAGCAGUGGGGAAUAUGGCACAAUGGGCGCAAGCCUGAUGCAGCAAUGCCGCGUGAGUGAAGAAGGCCUUCGGGUUGUAAAGUACUGUCAGCAGGGAGGCGUUACCCGCACAAGAAGCACCGGCUAACUCCGUGCCAGCAGCCGCGGUAAUUC